GAUGAACGCUGGCGGCGUGCCUAAUACAUGCAAGUCGAGCGAACAGACGAGGAGCUUGCUCCUUUGACGUUAGCGGCGGACGGGUGAGUAACACGUAGAUAACCUACCUAUAAGACUGGGAUAACUUCGGGAAACCGGAGCUAAUACCGGAUAAUAUUUCGAACCGCAUGGUUCGAUAGUGAAAGAUGGCUUUGCUGUCACUUAUAGAUGGACCUGCGCCGUAUUAGCUAGUUGGUAAGGUAACGGCUUACCAAGGCAACGAUACGUAGCCGACCUGAGAGGGUGAUCGGCCACACUGGAACUGAGACACGGUCCAGACUCCUACGGGAGGCAGCAGUAGGGAAUCUUCCGCAAUGGGCGAAAGCCUGACGGAGCAACGCCGCGUGAGUGAUGAAGGUCUUCGGAUCGUAAAACUCUGUUAUUAGGGAAGAACAAACGUGUAAGUAACUGUGCACGUCUUGACGGUACCUAAUCAGAAAGCCACGGCUAACUACGUG
Molecule: ribosomal RNA, 497 nt
Filed under: uncultured bacterium
Lineage: Bacteria
Description: partial 16S ribosomal RNA
Rfam family: Bacterial small subunit ribosomal RNA
Source: RNAcentral